RNAcentral lists this unclassified non-coding RNA (337 nucleotides) under soil metagenome. Its description in RNAcentral is "partial contains 5.8S ribosomal RNA, internal transcribed spacer 2, and large subunit ribosomal RNA". The stretch from base 1 to 120 matches the Rfam family "5.8S ribosomal RNA", at positions 35 to 154 of the family's 154-position model. The record is from RNAcentral.
GAUGAAGAACGUAGCGAAAUGCGAUAAGUAGUGUGAAUUGCAGAAUUCAGUGAAUCAUCGAAUCGUUGAACGCACAUUGCGCCCCAUGGUAUUCCGUGGGGCAUGCCUGUUCGAGCGUCAUUUACCCCCUCAAGCUCCGCUUGGUGUUGGGCGUCUGUCCCGCUUCGCGCGCGGACUCGCCCCAAAGGUAUUGGCAGCGGUCGUGCCAGCUUCUCGCGCAGCACAUUGCGCUUCUCGAGGCACCGGUGGGCCCGCGUCCAUCAAGCUCACCCCCCCAGUUUGACCUCGGAUCAGGUAGGGAUACCCGCUGAACUUAAGCAUAUCAAUAAGCGGAGGA